GAUCAUGGCUCAGAUUGAACGCUGGCGGCAUGCUUUACACAUGCAAGUCGAACGGCAGCACAGGGAGCUUGCUCCCGGGUGGCGAGUGGCGCACGGGUAAGUAAUACAUCGGAACGUGUCCUAUUGUGGGGGAUAACUGCUCGAAAGGGUGGCUAAUACCGCAUGAGACCUGAGGGUGAAAGCGGGGGAUCGCAAGACCUCGCGCAAUUGGAGCGGCCGAUGCCCGAUUAG
This 231-nucleotide ribosomal RNA is filed under the name uncultured bacterium. RNAcentral's name for it is "partial 16S ribosomal RNA". It matches the Rfam family "Bacterial small subunit ribosomal RNA", at positions 15 to 244 of the family's 1533-position model. The record is from RNAcentral.